AUUGGACGCUGGCGGAAUGCUUUGCACAUGCAAGUCGAACGGUAGAGGGGGCAACCCCUCGAGAGUGGCGAACGGGUGAGUAAUAUAUCGGAACGUGCCCAGUCGUGGGGGAUAACGUAGCGAAAGUUACGCUAAUACCGCAUACGCUCUAAGGAUGAAAGCGGGGGAUCGCACGACCUCGCGCGAUUGGAACGGCCGAUAACAGAUUAGGUAGUUGGUGGGGUAAAGGCAAACAAAGCCAAAGAUAUGUAGCUGGUAUGAGAGGACGACCAGCCACACUGGAACUGAGACACGGUCCAGACUCCUACGGGAGGCAGCAGUGGGGAAUUUUGGACAAUGGACGCAAGUCUGAUCCAGCCAUUCCGCGUGCAGGAUGAAGGCCCUCGGGUUGUAAACUGUUUUUGUACGGAACGAAAAGAUCUCUCUUAAUACGGGGGGCUCAUGACGGUACCGUAAGAAUAAGCACCGGCUAACUACGUGCCAGCCGCCGCCGUAA
RNAcentral lists this ribosomal RNA (496 nucleotides) under uncultured bacterium. RNAcentral's name for it is "partial 16S ribosomal RNA". It matches the Rfam family "Bacterial small subunit ribosomal RNA", at positions 30 to 523 of the family's 1533-position model. The record is from RNAcentral.